AAAGCCUGACGCAGCGACGCCGCUUGAGGGAUGAAGGUUCUCGGAUCGUAAACCUCUGUCAGAAGGGAAGAAACCGCACCGUGCUAAUCAGCGGUGCAUUGACGGUACCUUCAAAGGAAGCACCGGCUAACUCCGUGCCAGCAGCCGCGGUAAUACGUAGGGGACAAGCGUUGUCCGGAUUUACUGGGCGUAAAGGGCACGCAGGCGGUUUUUUAAGUCAGAUGUGAAAGGUACCGGCUCAACCGGUGACAUGCAUUUGAAACUGAAAGAGUUGAGUAUUGGAGAGGCAAGUGGAAUUCCUAGGGUAGCGGUGAAAUGCGUAGAUAUUAGGAGGAACACCGGUGGCGAAGGCGGCUUGCUGGACAAAUACUGACGCUGAGGUGCGAAAGCGUGGGGAGCAAACA
RNAcentral lists this ribosomal RNA (404 nucleotides) under uncultured Acetobacterium sp. RNAcentral describes it as "bacterial SSU rRNA". It matches the Rfam family "Bacterial small subunit ribosomal RNA", at positions 378 to 774 of the family's 1533-position model. The record is from RNAcentral. Lineage: Bacteria; Bacillati; Bacillota; Clostridia; Eubacteriales; Eubacteriaceae.